Molecule: long non-coding RNA, 817 nt
Filed under: Salmo salar (Atlantic salmon)
Lineage: Eukaryota; Metazoa; Chordata; Actinopteri; Salmoniformes; Salmonidae
Description: lncRNA (ENSSSAG00000104765.1)
Source: RNAcentral
CUUUCUCUCUCUCUGCUCCUCCAGGCUAUGAGCCGGCCUGUGACAAGUGGGGGCUCAUCCGUGGCAGUGAACGUGGGUAGAGCUUCCCUUUUCCCCUACAUCGGCUCGGGAGCACCUCUGUGGUUAUAGGGGGGGCCGCCAGUUCUGCUUGUCUUUUCCACUCCACUGGUUUUGUGUGCAUAAAACCCCACCACAUGUGACUGCACGAAGACCAGGGCCAGUUACUUAGUUGUUUUUGGAGGAUAUUGGGGUGUGGCUCCUGUUCUUGAACCCAGACUGACAGCAGAAUACUUCAAAAUGAGAAGAUCCUGCCAUGGAAAAGACGACUAGGUGGACAUAAAGUGGAAAGGAGGGGAAAUAACUCGCACUAUGCAGCAGGACACCUUCAGCUGUGGGGUCUUUGUAAUGCAGAUGGCCAAGGAAGUUGCAUAGAACUUCCCCAACAUCCCCUCUCAAAUUGAUAUGGAACCUUCAAAAACACAUGGAGCAACUGCGAAAAGAAAUGGCUGAGAAUUUACUAAAAAUGUCUGAGUUCAACAAAGCCAACAACUGCGUCAUGUGUGCCACUGAUAAAGAACCUGGAUGUGGCCCAAAGACUGACUGGUGUGCUGUGCCUAGGAAUGAAGACAAGAGUUCAACAGAGUAAAGAACACAAACUGGAAGUGCUGUCUUUGUUGUUGAAAAUGUAUGCUAUACCCCAGCCACACUGAAGAGGCUCUGAAAUGUACAUCAACCAGGGAUAAAGAGAAAGUUAACACUGUGAAAUGUUUCUUACUUAAUUGAAGUUAUGUCUCUGACAUGUUGAAAAAGAUUAAAG